AUACGUAGGGUGCAAGCGUUAAUCGGAAUUACUGGGCGUAAAGCGUGCGCAGGCGGUUUUGUAAGACAGUGGUGAAAUCCCCGGGCUCAACCUGGGAACUGCCAUUGUGACUGCAAGGCUGGAGUGCGGCAGAGGGGGAUGGAAUUCCGCGUGUAGCAGUGAAAUGCGUAGAUAUGCGGAGGAACACCGAUGGCGAAGGCAAUCCCCUGGGCCUGCACUGACGCUCAUGCACGAAAGCGUGGGGAGCAAACAGGAUUAGAUACCCUGGUAGUCCACGCCCUAAACGAUGUCAACUAGUUGUUGGGGAUUUAUUUUCUCAGUAACGAAGCUAACGCGUGAAGUUGACCGCCUGGGGAGUACGGCCGCAAGGUUAAAACUCAAAUGAAUUGACGGGG
RNAcentral lists this ribosomal RNA (395 nucleotides) under uncultured bacterium. RNAcentral describes it as "partial 16S ribosomal RNA". It matches the Rfam family "Bacterial small subunit ribosomal RNA", at positions 523 to 918 of the family's 1533-position model. The record is from RNAcentral.